Molecule: ribosomal RNA, 429 nt
Filed under: Chloroflexota bacterium
Lineage: Bacteria; Bacillati; Chloroflexota
Description: Chloroflexi bacterium partial 16S ribosomal RNA
Rfam family: Bacterial small subunit ribosomal RNA
Source: RNAcentral
UGGGGAAUAUUGCACAAUGGGCACAAGCCUGAUGCAGCCAUGCCGCGUGUAUGAAGAAGGCCUUCGGGUUGUAAAGUACUUUCAGUCGGGAGGAAGGUGGUAAGGUUAAUAACCUUAUCAAUUGACGUUACCGACAGAAGAAGCACCGGCUAACUCCGUGCCAGCAGCCGCGGUAAUACGGAGGGUGCAAGCGUUAAUCGGAAUUACUGGGCGUAAAGCGCACGCAGGCGGUUGAUUGAGUCAGAUGUGAAAUCCCCGGGCUUAACCCGGAAAUUGCAUCUGAUACUGGUCAGCUAGAGUCUUGUAGAGGGGGGUAGAAUUCCAUGUGUGGCGGUGCGAUGCGUAGAGAUGUGGAGGAAUACCGGUGGCGAAGGCGGCCCCCUGGACAAAGACUGACGCUCAGGUGCGAAAGCGUGGGGAGCAAACAGG